This 421-nucleotide ribosomal RNA is filed under the name uncultured bacterium. RNAcentral's name for it is "bacterial SSU rRNA". It matches the Rfam family "Bacterial small subunit ribosomal RNA", at positions 355 to 774 of the family's 1533-position model. The record is from RNAcentral.
UAAGGAAUAUUGGUCAAUGGACGCAAGCCUGAACCAGCCAUGCCGCGUGAAGGAUGAAGGUCCUCUGGAUUGUAAACUUCUUUUAUCUGGGACGAAAACGGGAUUUUUAUCUCAAUUGACGGUACCAGAGGAAUAAGCACCGGCUAACUCCGUGCCAGCAGCCGCGGUAAUACGGAGGGUGCGAGCGUUAUCCGGAUUUACUGGGUUUAAAGGGUGCGUAGGUGGGCUUAUAAGUCAGUGGUGAAAUCUCCGAGCUUAACUUGGAAACUGCCGUUGAUACUAUAGGUCUUGAAUUAUCUGGAGGUAAGCGGAAUAUGUCAUGUAGCGGUGAAAUGCUUAGAUAUGACAUAGAACACCAAUUGCGAAGGCAGCUUACUACAUAUAAAUUGACGCUGAGGCACGAAAGCGUGGGGAUCAAACA